This 29-nucleotide non-coding RNA is filed under the name Mus musculus (house mouse). Lineage: Eukaryota; Metazoa; Chordata; Mammalia; Rodentia; Muridae. The record is from RNAcentral.
UAAGUUUCCGUGAAACUCUUCGCCUCAGG